CUUUGAUUCUCCAGUGGACUCAGACGAGAUCAGAGAAAGUUGUUGGCAGCUCCCGAGUAUUCUCACACUAAAUGAGCAGUAUAGAGAUGCCUACAAAAAGACUAAUUUCCCAGUAAUCCAACUUAUUCCAAACACUCCACCCACAAAGCAGCAAGUGAGGGAAAAAAUAGAAUUCUGCUUGAAGAUGCUUUUCAGUCAACUCUCUCUAGCUCAUAAAUCAGCGCUUCUCCAAGAGUGUUAUGAACCCUGCACCCUCCUUGUCAAUGCUGAUUUCUGCACCCAUCUCCCAGGUUGAAGUUUGCUUUUAUUCAACUGUUUUCACUGACGAGAUAUGCAUCAUGGCUUCUCUGGUGACGAUCCCUUCUUACGCAGAUCGCGGGCUUUCUGCAGGAAGUACUUCCAGUUGUUUGAGGAGGGCAUCAAGGUACUAAUUCCGGGCCACCAAGACUGAACGCCUAAACGAGGCAACAGAGCUCAUAAAAUGAUGGCAACUUCGUGACUGUUGGCUUGCAGGCUCAGAGUGGUUUUUCUUUAGUGUGGGUAGAAGGAAGUAUUGAUUAUUAGGUUUCAGUUUCUUCCAUUUAAGGAAAAAUGGAAAGGGAUGUGAAGUAACUCACAAGUAUUGAGAGUGUACACGAAUGAUG
This 644-nucleotide long non-coding RNA is filed under the name Gorilla gorilla gorilla (western lowland gorilla). RNAcentral's name for it is "lncRNA (ENSGGOG00000044341.1)". Lineage: Eukaryota; Metazoa; Chordata; Mammalia; Primates; Hominidae. The record is from RNAcentral.